ACUCAAAUGAAUAGACGGGGGCCCGCACAAGCAGCGGAGCAUGUGGUUUAAUUCGAAGCAACGCGAAGAACCUUACCAGGUCUUGACAUCCAAUUAAAGGUGUAGAGAUACACUGUGAGCUUGCUCAAAUUGAGACAGGUGGUGCAUGGUUGUCGUCAGCUCGUGUCGUGAGAUGUUGGGUUAAGUCCCGCAACGAGCGCAACCCUUGCGAUUGGUUGCUAACAGGUAGCGCUGAGAACUCCAAUAGGACUGCCGGGGACAACUCGGAGGAAGGUGGGGACGACGUCAAAUCAUCAUGCCCCUUAUGACCUGGGCUACACACGUGCUACAAUGGCCACUACAGAGAGGAACGAAGCCGCAAGGCGGAGUGGAUCUGAUAAAAGUGGUCUCAGUUCGGAUUGUGGGCUGCAACCCGCCCACAUGAAGUCGGAGUUGCUAGUAAUCGCGAAUCAGCAUGUCGCGGUGAAUACGUUCCCGGGCCUUGUACACACCGCCCGU
This 498-nucleotide ribosomal RNA is filed under the name uncultured bacterium. Its description in RNAcentral is "bacterial SSU rRNA". It matches the Rfam family "Bacterial small subunit ribosomal RNA", at positions 899 to 1397 of the family's 1533-position model. The record is from RNAcentral.